This 497-nucleotide ribosomal RNA is filed under the name uncultured bacterium. RNAcentral's name for it is "partial 16S ribosomal RNA". It matches the Rfam family "Bacterial small subunit ribosomal RNA", at positions 28 to 507 of the family's 1533-position model. The record is from RNAcentral.
GAUAAACGCUGGCGGCGUGCCUAAUACAUGCAAGUCGAGCGAACAGACGAGGAGCUUGCUCCUCUGACGUUAGCGGCGGACGGGUGAGUAACACGUGGAUAACCUACCUAUAAGACUGGGAUAACUUCGGGAAACCGGAGCUAAUACCGGAUAACAUGUUGAACCGCAUGGUUCAACAGUGAAAGACGGUUUUGCUGUCACUUAUAGAUGGAUCCGCGUCGCAUUAGCUAGUUGGUAAGGUAACGGCUUACCAAGGCAACGAUGCGUAGCCGACCUGAGAGGGUGAUCGGCCACACUGGAACUGAGACACGGUCCAGACUCCUACGGGAGGCAGCAGUAGGGAAUCUUCCGCAAUGGGCGAAAGCCUGACGGAGCAACGCCGCGUGAGUGAAGAAGGUCUUCGGAUCGUAAAACUCUGUUAUUAGGGAAGAACAAAUGUGUAAGUAACUAUGCACGUCUUGACGGUACCUAAUCAGAAAGCCACGGCUAACUACGUG